RNAcentral lists this ribosomal RNA (492 nucleotides) under Staphylococcus aureus. RNAcentral describes it as "partial 23S ribosomal RNA". It matches the Rfam family "Bacterial large subunit ribosomal RNA", at positions 731 to 1226 of the family's 2925-position model. The record is from RNAcentral. Lineage: Bacteria; Bacillati; Bacillota; Bacilli; Caryophanales; Staphylococcaceae.
UACCCUUGGUCAGGUUGAAGUUCAGGUAACACUGAAUGGAGGACCGAACCGACUUACGUUGAAAAGUGAGCGGAUGAACUGAGGGUAGCGGAGAAAUUCCAAUCGAACCUGGAGAUAGCUGGUUCUCUCCGAAAUAGCUUUAGGGCUAGCCUCAAGUGAUGAUUAUUGGAGGUAGAGCACUGUUUGGACGAGGGGCCCCUCUCGGGUUACCGAAUUCAGACAAACUCCGAAUGCCAAUUAAUUUAACUUGGGAGUCAGAACAUGGGUGAUAAGGUCCGUGUUCGAAAGGGAAACAGCCCAGACCACCAGCUAAGGUCCCAAAAUAUAUGUUAAGUGGAAAAGGAUGUGGCGUUGCCCAGACAACUAGGAUGUUGGCUUAGAAGCAGCCAUCAUUUAAAGAGUGCGUAAUAGCUCACUAGUCGAGUGACACUGCGCCGAAAAUGUACCGGGGCUAAACAUAUUACCGAAGCUGUGGAUUGUCCUUUGGACAAU